Molecule: long non-coding RNA, 381 nt
Filed under: Dromaius novaehollandiae (emu)
Lineage: Eukaryota; Metazoa; Chordata; Aves; Casuariiformes; Dromaiidae
Description: lncRNA (ENSDNVG00000001737.1)
Source: RNAcentral
CCUGAGGAUUGGCGCCUGGUUGUCCAAACUGCCAAGCUGCUAGCAUGGUGCUGGCUCUGCCUUAAUCUGGGCCAGCUGUUACCCUCCUGGACAACUUGUGGAAGACAGAGUUUGAACGUGCCUUCUCUAUUUUGAAAGACUACCAGUUGGAUUGCACUGGAGCCAGCCCUGCAGGCUUGCUAGCAGCUUAGAAACACGGACGAGUGAUGCGUUUUCCCUCUAGUCCAGCCUCAAGACUACUUACAUACCACUGCUAUGCACGAAAUCCGUGGCUCUUUUGCGUGACAAUUCUCCUGACUCCAGAUGUGAGUCAUCUUGGUGAACUGUGAUCCCUCCCACAUCUUCUGAAGAAUGCAUGGGACUUGUAAGGAAGUGAAGGCA